AACCCGUAGAUUCGAAUUUGUGUUUACAUAAUGGAAUAACACUGUUCGAUUCUCGGGUAGA
This 61-nucleotide microRNA precursor is filed under the name Ascaris suum (pig roundworm). RNAcentral's name for it is "Asu-Mir-10-P2o6_pre stem-loop". The record is from RNAcentral. Lineage: Eukaryota; Metazoa; Nematoda; Chromadorea; Rhabditida; Ascarididae.